AACUUUCAACAACGGAUCUCUUGGUUCUGGCAUCGAUGAAGAGCGCAGCGAAAUGCGAUAAGUAAUGUGAAUUGCAGAAUUCAGUGAAUCAUCGAAUCUUUGAACGCACAUUGCGCCCGCCAGUAUUCUGGCGGGCAUGCCUGUCCGAGCGUCAUUU
Molecule: ribosomal RNA, 157 nt
Filed under: Trichoderma harzianum
Lineage: Eukaryota; Fungi; Ascomycota; Sordariomycetes; Hypocreales; Hypocreaceae
Description: 5.8 ribosomal RNA
Rfam family: 5.8S ribosomal RNA
About the family: 5.8S ribosomal RNA (5.8S rRNA) is a component of the large subunit of the eukaryotic ribosome.
Source: RNAcentral